Non-coding RNA from Misgurnus anguillicaudatus (oriental weatherfish), 796 nucleotides. NCBI's taxonomy places the organism in Eukaryota, Metazoa, Chordata, Actinopteri, Cypriniformes, Cobitidae. The record is from RefSeq and is a predicted model, not a curated record.
GAUGGGCACAUUAGCUGAGACAUAUUUGACAUCUGCCCAUACAGAUAUCGGAUUAUGAAAUCCUUACAAUUUUACACCUACAACUAAAAGACCAAGAAAGACAAAACAUCAGCAGCAUCUAUGGAUAAACAGCUACCUAAUGUGUAUGGAAAUGCGACAGAGGAUGCAGCACCAACCUCUCCCUGUAAAGGACCAUAAUCAAGUUAAACUAAUGCAAACUGUUGUCUGCAGUUGGGGGGGUGUAAACAGCAAGGACAGCAUGACAAGCCUCAUUAGGAGACAACCCCUUGGUGGCAGACAAGAACAGAUGACCAAACUGAGAGACAGAUCAAAUUUACUGACAGCUAAUGAUUUAAUGAGAUUUUCAUUGGCUUUUUUCAAUUCCAUCUGUCAUAGACAACCGUUAUGUGAAUCUUGGACACCAGGAUCCCCAUAAUUAUCAUAAAAUAUACAUUCUUAAAUUACACAUUAUUUAUUCAAGGGGGCUUGAUAGAUACUUGUCUCAUUAGCUGCACAACAUGAAAGCUUGGGCAAUAGCACAUGAUUUUGUCUCCAUCACCUGUAGCUGUAGACAAAUGAAAAAUGUAUUUAAAUUGUAUCGCCAUUAAAAGCUUUAUACUGUAUGUGUUAAGUAAUAUGGGAUCAUAUUAGUUGAUUAAAGACAUAACUGUAUUUCUGAUAUUUUUAAAAGCAGGAAGGAUUAUUAUUGUUAAUUUAUUAAAUUUCUAUAUUGUUGUUAUUACAAUAAAUUUGUAGAAGCACAGAACUAGAAGGAAAAUAAUAAAUCUGAAGUAAA